Molecule: long non-coding RNA, 292 nt
Organism: Archocentrus centrarchus (flier cichlid)
Lineage: Eukaryota; Metazoa; Chordata; Actinopteri; Cichliformes; Cichlidae
Exons: 3
Source: RefSeq, a predicted model, not a curated record
UAUCCAGGAGAGCAUCCAACAGUUCCAGCAGGACAUUCAAAAGAUCAGAAAUUCUCUCCACUCCAUGGUUGGACAAAGCAGUGUAGGUAGUAGUCAGCCAGUGAAGAAGCGUCGGACACUCAGUGUAGAAGACCAUGAAAGGAUUGCUGCAGAGGUCUGUGAUAUCAUACUGGGACACACCAGGGAGCGCUUUUCUUUCACAAACCACCUUGUUAGUGCCACACUCCUGCAGGGGGACAGAUUUGAACAAUACAACACAGCAUUUCCUGAAGAUGCACUGAGCAACACCUUA